Molecule: ribosomal RNA, 173 nt
Filed under: uncultured bacterium
Lineage: Bacteria
Description: partial 16S ribosomal RNA
Rfam family: Bacterial small subunit ribosomal RNA
Source: RNAcentral
GCGAAGCUGGAUUCGCUAGUAAUCGCGCAUCAGCCAUGGCGCGGUGAAUACGUUCCCGGGCCUUGUACACACCGCCCGUCAAGCCAUGGGAGCCGGGGGUGCUUGAAGUGCGUCGCCGCAAGGCGCGCCCUAGAGCAAAACCGGUGACUGGGGCUAAGUCGUAACAAGGUAUC